GUCACUUUCUGCAUGCAAUGUUUGAUGCAUUGGCUUUGUAAUCUAUUCAUUAUAUGCCCCUGUAACCAACUUUUUCCAGAUGUCCCUUUGAAAUUAGUUUGUGCCAGUCAUUAUGUACAAGAUAGUAAAAUGUCUGUGAUUAUCCAGGUUUCUAUCUUUGUUAAAUUGACCACUCUUGGUCUAACUUGGUUUAAAAUUCUACUUUCAGGGGACGUCACGUGAUGACAUAGGAUCGAGACGCUGGAACCCAGCUCUCCCAUAAAAAAAAUCAAUAAAUUAAUGUUUAAGUGAAGAAAAGUUAGUCAAAAAGUUACUUAUAAACUACUCUGGAUUGUUUCAAGUUAUGCCUCAUAAACAGAAGAAGAAAACUACUACCAUGAAGUCAACGCAAGUUGGAACAGAAUCAAGGCCCACUUCUGCCAAAGAACCGCGGGCUCAGGUACAUUUCACCUCCAGCGAUACAGAACAACAAACUGCGGCAAAAUCGAUCAACCCUAAAGAAAAAGACCAACGAGAACUGCGCAAACGUGAAGGAGCAUGAGCAAACGAGAGCAACCAGAACCAGAGAGUAACCCAGUUACGACUGAAACCAAAAGCGAAAGUGAAUCUGAGAGAGAGUCAGAUUCUCUGGAAAAAAAAUCAGACGAAGAUGGAAGUAAAAGUUUUUCUGGAAAUAUAGAAAAGACUUUGAUGCAAAUAAUGCAUAUAUUCAGUGCAUUAAAGAUGUGGAGCCAAAGAGAUGGGGGAGAUUUUGAACAAUUUCUUUUCUUCAGUAUUCACUAAGGAGAGGGAUAUUGAAUUGUGUAAGGGUUCCGCCAAACUGAGUGGAUUAUUGAAAGUCCUGUAGUUGGUGAUAAGUUCAUUCCAAAGCACAGGAAUGCGCUAAGAUGGUAGCAUGAUAUUAAUAUGCAGCAGCCUCUCCGGACUCUGGAUUGGGGGAUUAUCAAACAUUAUGUGGAUUUCUGGUGUAGUUGGUUUUGUCAUGUGCUUUUGUGAUAUCAUUCUGGAGAACAUUGUCUCAUUUUUUAAAUUGCAUUGCAUUUGUGGUUUUUAAAUGACAACAAACUGAAACUGAACUGAACUGAACUGAAGAGGGCAAGAAAGAGGAUGAAAUAGCUUUGACAGAGAACGCUACAUAGACUCCAAAGAGAUUUUAUCCGUUUUAAGAGAAUUAGGAAAAGAAUAGGGUCUCUCAAAGAUUGAAGUGGAGGUCUAUCAUGUAGAGUCACAGGAAAUGAAUCAGGCACGCACUGAAUAUUUCUCCUUUUCUAAAUCAUGGAGAAGGACAUACUGUGACAUCCCAGAAACCAAUGGCGAUAUCAUUAGGAUAGUCCAUGCUACAGUAGAG
Molecule: long non-coding RNA, 1348 nt
Organism: Hypanus sabinus (Atlantic stingray)
Lineage: Eukaryota; Metazoa; Chordata; Chondrichthyes; Myliobatiformes; Dasyatidae
Exons: 4
Source: RefSeq, a predicted model, not a curated record